This 216-nucleotide ribosomal RNA is filed under the name uncultured archaeon. Its description in RNAcentral is "partial 16S ribosomal RNA". It matches the Rfam family "Archaeal small subunit ribosomal RNA", at positions 510 to 725 of the family's 1478-position model. The record is from RNAcentral.
CUAAAGCGUCCGUAGCUGGCCGCACAAGUCCGUCGGGAAAUCCGCCCGCUCAACGGGCGGCCGUCCGGCGGAACCUGUGUGGCUUGGGACCGGGAGGCCUGAGGGGUACGAUCGGGGUAGGAGUGAAAUCCUGUAAUCCCGCUCGGACCGCCGAUGGGGAAACCACCUCAGGAGAACGGAUCCGACAGUGAGGGACGAAAGCCAGGGUCUCGAACC